This 490-nucleotide ribosomal RNA is filed under the name uncultured bacterium. RNAcentral describes it as "partial 16S ribosomal RNA". It matches the Rfam family "Bacterial small subunit ribosomal RNA", at positions 30 to 507 of the family's 1533-position model. The record is from RNAcentral.
AUUGAACGCUGGCGGCAGGCCUAACACAUGCAAGUCGAACGGUAACAGGAAGAAGCUUGCUUCUUUGCUGACGAGUGGCGGACGGGUGAGUAAUGUCUGGGAAACUGCCUGAUGGCGGGGGAUAACUACUGGAAACGGUAGCUAAUACCGCAUAACGUCGCAAGACCAAAGAGGGGGACCUUCGGGCCUCUUGCCAUCGGAUGUGCCCAGAUGGGAUUAGCUAGUAGGUGGGGUAACGGCUCACCCAGGCGACGAUCCCUAGCUGGUCUGAGAGGAUGACCAGCCACACUGGAACUGAGACACGGUCCAGACUCCUACGGGAGGCAGCAGUGGGGAAUAUUGCACAAUGGGCGCAAGCCUGAUGCAGCCAUGGCGCGUGUAUGAAGAAGGCCUUCGGGUUGUAAAGUACUUUCAGCGGGGAGGAAGGGAGUAAAGUUAAUACCUUUGCUCAUUGACGUUACCCGCAGAAGAAGCGCCGGCUAACUCCGUG